GCACUAAAAUCUAGAAAUUACAUACAUAUGAAAAUAUAGUUCUAUACAAUCCGAAAUGCUAAAAAAAUAUACAAUACAACCUUACUCUGUAAUUGUAAGUUUAGACAACUGAAUUCUACGAGGUCCUAUAUUUUGAAAACGUUGCAAUAUUUUCUCAUUCUCAAGUUUCAUAAAAAGAUCUUUCUUCAUGUAAACCACCAAAUUGUCAUUCAACAAUUCAUCUCCCAUUUUGUUGCGCAGAUCAUU
RNAcentral lists this long non-coding RNA (246 nucleotides) under Olea europaea (common olive). Its description in RNAcentral is "long non-coding RNA (OEUR_LNC008297)". Lineage: Eukaryota; Viridiplantae; Streptophyta; Magnoliopsida; Lamiales; Oleaceae. The record is from RNAcentral.